UACGGAGGGUGCAAGCGUUAUCCGGAUUCACUGGGUUUAAAGGGAGCGUAGGUGGGCUGGUAAGUCAGUGGUGAAAUCCCCGAGCUUAACUUGGGAACUGCCAUUGAUACUAUUAGUCUUGAAUAUUGUGGAGGUCAGCGGAAUAUGUCAUGUAGCGGUGAAAUGCUUAGAGAUGACAUAGAACACCAAUUGCGAAGGCAGCUGGCUACACAUAUAUUGACACUGAGGCUCGAAAGCGUGGGGAUCAAACAGGAUUAGAAACCCCCGUAGUCC
Molecule: ribosomal RNA, 273 nt
Filed under: uncultured bacterium
Lineage: Bacteria
Description: partial 16S ribosomal RNA
Rfam family: Bacterial small subunit ribosomal RNA
Source: RNAcentral